Molecule: ribosomal RNA, 1397 nt
Filed under: Vibrio cholerae
Lineage: Bacteria; Pseudomonadati; Pseudomonadota; Gammaproteobacteria; Vibrionales; Vibrionaceae
Description: partial 23S ribosomal RNA
Rfam family: Bacterial large subunit ribosomal RNA
Source: RNAcentral
CUAAGGCUGAGACACGACGUCGAGCUGCUACGGCAGUGAAGUCAUUGAUGCCAUGCUUCCAGGAAAAGCCUCUAAGCUUCAGAUAGUCAGGAAUCGUACCCCAAACCGACACAGGUGGUCGGGUAGAGAAUACCAAGGCGCUUGAGAGAACUCGGGUGAAGGAACUAGGCAAAAUGGUACCGUAACUUCGGGAGAAGGUACGCUCUUGAUGGUGAAGUCCCUCGCGGAUGGAGCUGACGAGAGUCGCAGAUACCAGGUGGCUGCAACUGUUUAUUAAAAACACAGCACUGUGCAAAAUCGCAAGAUGACGUAUACGGUGUGACGCCUGCCCGGUGCCGGAAGGUUAAUUGAUGGGGUUAGCGCAAGCGAAGCUCUUGAUCGAAGCCCCGGUAAACGGCGGCCGUAACUAUAACGGUCCUAAGGUAGCGAAAUUCCUUGUCGGGUAAGUUCCGACCUGCACGAAUGGCGUAAUGAUGGCCACGCUGUCUCCACCCGAGACUCAGUGAAAUUGAAAUCGCUGUGAAGAUGCAGUGUACCCGCGGCUAGACGGAAAGACCCCGUGAACCUUUACUACAGCUUGGCACUGAACAUUGAACCUACAUGUGUAGGAUAGGUGGGAGGCUAUGAAGACGUGACGCCAGUUGCGUUGGAGCCGUCCUUGAAAUACCACCCUUGUAUGUUUGAUGUUCUAACUUAGACCCAUUAUCUGGGUUGAGGACAGUGCCUGGUGGGUAGUUUGACUGGGGCGGUCUCCUCCCAAAGAGUAACGGAGGAGCACGAAGGUGGGCUAAUCACGGUUGGACAUCGUGAGGUUAGUGCAAUGGCAUAAGCCCGCUUAACUGCGAGAAUGACGGUUCGAGCAGGUGCGAAAGCAGGUCAUAGUGAUCCGGUGGUUCUGUAUGGAAGGGCCAUCGCUCAACGGAUAAAAGGUACUCCGGGGAUAACAGGCUGAUACCGCCCAAGAGUUCAUAUCGACGGCGGUGUUUGGCACCUCGAUGUCGGCUCAUCACAUCCUGGGGCUGAAGUCGGUCCCAAGGGUAUGGCUGUUCGCCAUUUAAAGUGGUACGCGAGCUGGGUUUAGAACGUCGUGAGACAGUUCGGUCCCUAUCUGCCGUGGGCGUUGGAAGAUUGAAGGGGGCUGCUCCUAGUACGAGAGGACCGGAGUGGACGAACCUCUGGUGUUCGGGUUGUGUCGCCAGACGCAUUGCCCGGUAGCUAAGUUCGGAAUUGAUAAGCGCUGAAAGCAUCUAAGCGCGAAGCGAGCCCUGAGAUGAGUCUUCCCUGAUACUUUAAGUAUCCUAAAGGGUUGUUCGAGACUAGAACGUUGAUAGGCAGGGUGUGUAAGCGUUGUGAGGCGUUGAGCUAACCUGUACUAAUUGCCCGUGAGGCUUAACCAU